GGUUUUAUUGUCUAGUGGUUAAGACCCUUGGUUCUGAACAGAUCUUUACAAGAAAGUUCGAAACUAGAGAAUAUCCAAGUAACCUGGGUUCGAAUCCCAGUGAAACCU
RNAcentral lists this transfer RNA (108 nucleotides) under Kwoniella mangroviensis CBS 8507. RNAcentral's name for it is "tRNA-Gln". It matches the Rfam family "tRNA". From Rfam's summary of the family: Transfer RNA (tRNA) molecules are approximately 80 nucleotides in length. Their secondary structure includes four short double-helical elements and three loops (D, anti-codon, and T loops). The record is from RNAcentral. Lineage: Eukaryota; Fungi; Basidiomycota; Tremellomycetes; Tremellales; Cryptococcaceae. RNAcentral also lists the same sequence under 2 other names.